CCUACGGGAGGCAGCAGUGAGGAAUAUUGGUCAAUGGACGAGAGUCUGAACCAGCCAAGUAGCGUGAAGGAUGACUGCCCUAUGGGUUGUAAACUUCUUUUAUAUGGGAAUAAAACGUUCCACGUGUGGGAUUUUGUAUGUACCAUAUGAAUAAGGAUCGGCUAACUCCGUGCCAGCAGCCGCGGUAAUACGGAGGAUCCGAGCGUUAUCCGGAUUUAUUGGGUUUAAAGGGAGCGUAGGUGGAUUGUUAAGUCAGUUGUGAAAGUUUGCGGCUCAACCGUAAAAUUGCAGUUGAAACUGGCAGUCUUGAGUACAGUAGAGGUGGGCGGAAUUCGUGGUGUAGCGGUGAAAUACUUAGAUAUCACGAAGAACUCCGAUUGCGAAGGCAGUUCACUGGACUGCAACUGACACUGAGGCUCGAAAGUGUGGGUAUCAAACAGGAUUAGAUACCCGAGUAGUC
Molecule: ribosomal RNA, 460 nt
Filed under: uncultured bacterium
Lineage: Bacteria
Description: partial 16S ribosomal RNA
Rfam family: Bacterial small subunit ribosomal RNA
Source: RNAcentral